CCUAAAAAUACGUCCCAGUUCAGAUUGCAGUCUGCAACUCGACUGCAUGAAGUCGGAAUCGCUAGUAAUCGCGGAUCAGCAUGCCGCGGUGAAUACGUUCCCGGGCCUUGUACACACCGCCCGUCACACCAUGAGAGUCGGGAACACCCGAAGUCCGUAGCCUAACCGCAAGGGGGGCGCGGCCGAAGGUGGGUUCGAUAAUUGGGGUGAAGUCGUAACAAGGUAGC
Molecule: ribosomal RNA, 227 nt
Filed under: uncultured bacterium
Lineage: Bacteria
Description: partial 16S ribosomal RNA
Rfam family: Bacterial small subunit ribosomal RNA
Source: RNAcentral